Non-coding RNA from Pelobates cultripes (western spadefoot toad), 286 nucleotides. Lineage: Eukaryota; Metazoa; Chordata; Amphibia; Anura; Pelobatidae. The record is from the annotation of a GenBank genome assembly.
CAAGGGGAGGGGGAGACACUAUGGGACAAGGGGAGGGGGAGACACUAUGGGACAAGGGCAGGGGGGGACACUAUGGGAGGGAAAGUGCACUAUGGGACAAUCGGAGGGGGGGACACUAUGGGAUCAGAACACUAAUGGACAAGGGGAGGAGGGGUUAAAGAACACUAUGGGACAGGGUAGGAGGGGUUAACAAUCACUAUGGGACAGGGUAGGAGGGGUUAACAAUCACUAUGGGACAGAGGAAAGGGGGGUUAAAGAUCAUUAUGGGACAGGGGAGAAAAAAAAA